ACGAACGUUGGCGGCGUGGAUUAGGCAUGCAAGUCGAACGAAUCUCACCCUUGUAGCAAUACCGGGGUGGGGGAAGUGGCGAAAGGGGCAGUAAUGCGUGGGUAACCUACCCCGGGGAUGGGCAUAGCCGUUCUAACGAGCGGAUAAUUCCCAGCGAUUUGGUCGAGGGGCAUCUCUUGGCCAAGAAAUGAAUUUCGCCUCGGGAGGGGCUCACGUCGUAUUAGCUUGUUGGCGGGGUAACGGCCCACCAAGGCAAAGAUGCGUAGCAGGUGUGAGAGCACGACCUGCGCCACUGGCACUGAGACACUGGCCAGACACCUACGGGUGGCUGCAGUCGAGGAUCUUCGGCAAUGGGCGCAAGCCUGACCGAGCGACGCCGCGUGUGCGAUGAAGGCCUUCGGGUUGUAAAGCACUGUCGAGGGGGAGGAAGCCGCAAGGUUGACCUAUCCCUGGAGGAAGCACGGGCUAAGUUCGU
RNAcentral lists this ribosomal RNA (475 nucleotides) under uncultured bacterium. RNAcentral's name for it is "bacterial SSU rRNA". It matches the Rfam family "Bacterial small subunit ribosomal RNA", at positions 29 to 506 of the family's 1533-position model. The record is from RNAcentral.